RNAcentral lists this ribosomal RNA (517 nucleotides) under Acremonium sclerotigenum. Its description in RNAcentral is "eukaryotic LSU rRNA". It matches the Rfam family "Eukaryotic large subunit ribosomal RNA", at positions 87 to 629 of the family's 3401-position model. The record is from RNAcentral. Lineage: Eukaryota; Fungi; Ascomycota; Sordariomycetes; Hypocreales; Bionectriaceae.
CGGCGAGUGAAGCGGCAACAGCUCAAAUUUGAAAUCUUGGCCUCACGGUCCGAAUUGUAAUUUGUAGAGGAUGUUUCUGGCGACGUGUCUUCCGAGUUCCCUGGAACGGGACGCCAUAGAGGGUGAGAGCCCCGUCCGGUCGUACACCUAGCCUCUGUGAAACUCCUUCGACGAGUCGAGUAGUUUGGGAAUGCUGCUCUAAAUGGGAGGUAUACGUCUUCUAAAGCUAAAUACCGGCCAGAGACCGAUAGCGCACAAGUAGAGUGAUCGAAAGAUGAAAAGCACUUUGAAAAGAGGGUUAAAUAGUACGUGAAAUUGCUGAAAGGGAAGCGCUUAUGACCAGACUUGGGCUCGGUGAAUCAUCCGGCGUUCUCGCCGGUGCACUUUGCCGUCCCAGGCCAGCAUCAGUUCGCGCCGGGGGAUAAAGGUUUCGGGAAUGUAGCUCCCUCGGGAGUGUUAUAGCCCGUUGCGUAAUACCCUGGCGUGGACUGAGGUCCGCGCUCUGCAAGGAUGCUGG